This 497-nucleotide ribosomal RNA is filed under the name uncultured bacterium. RNAcentral's name for it is "partial 16S ribosomal RNA". It matches the Rfam family "Bacterial small subunit ribosomal RNA", at positions 28 to 507 of the family's 1533-position model. The record is from RNAcentral.
GAUGAACGCUGGCGGCGUGCCUAAUACAUGCAAGUCGAGCGAACAGAUGAGGAGCUUGCUCCUCUGACGUUAGCGGCGGACGGGUGAGUAACACGUGGAUAACCUACCUAUAAGACUGGGAUAACUUCGGGAAACCGGAGCUAAUACCGGAUAAUAUAUUGAACCGCAUGGUUCAAUAGUGAAAGACGGUGUUGCUGUCACUUAUAGAUGGAUCCGCGCCGCAUUAGCUAGUUGGUAAGGUAACGGCUUACCAAGGCAACGAUGCGUAGCCGACCUGAGAGGGUGGUCGGCGACACGGGAACGGAGCCACGGUCCAGACUCCUACGGGAGGCAGCAGUAGGGAAUCGUCCGCAAUGGGCGAAAGCCUGACGGAGCAACGCCGAGUGAGUGAUGAAGGUCUUCGGAUCGUAAAACUCUGUUAUUAGGGAAGAACAAAUGUGUAAGUAACUAUGCACGUCGUGACGGUACCUAAUCAGAAAGCCACGGCUAACUACGUG